RNAcentral lists this ribosomal RNA (365 nucleotides) under uncultured bacterium. RNAcentral's name for it is "bacterial SSU rRNA". It matches the Rfam family "Bacterial small subunit ribosomal RNA", at positions 29 to 419 of the family's 1533-position model. The record is from RNAcentral.
AACGAACGCUGGCGGCAUGCCUAACACAUGCAAGUCGAACGAGACCUUCGGGUCUAGUGGCGCACGGGUGCGUAACGCGUGGGAACCUGCCUUUAGGUUCGGAAUAACAGUGAGAAAUUACUGCUAAUACCGGAUGAUGUCUUCGGACCAAAGAUUUAUCGCCUUUAGAUGGGCCCGCGUUGGAUUAGCUAGUUGGUGGGGUAAAGGCCUACCAAGGCGACGAUCCAUAGCUGGUCUGAGAGGAUGAUCAGACACACUGGAACUGAGACACGGUCCGAGACUCCUACGGGAGGCAGCAGUGGGGAAUUUUCCGCAAUGGGGCGAAAGCCUGACGGAGCAAUACCGCGUGAGGGAAGAAUGCCUAU